This is a non-coding RNA of Cinara cedri, 258 nucleotides long. NCBI's taxonomy places the organism in Eukaryota, Metazoa, Arthropoda, Insecta, Hemiptera, Aphididae. The record is from the annotation of a GenBank genome assembly.
CAGGUUUCUCCCAUUAUUCAUUAUGGAAAAUGCGGGAGGAAUCAAAUAACGCUUUCCUUAAAGUACCUUUCCCAGUUAGACUUCUUUUAAAAAAAGUAUCAUACUUAAAAAGCCGAGCAAAUUUGCCGGUAGAAAAUUUAUCCACAAAAAACAUAAUAAACAUCAUUGUAUAACGAAUACAUUCAAUCAGAAUCUAAAAUAUCAUGGGAUAAAACUUAUAAAUUAGUUUUGACUACAAGCAGCAGCAGCAGAAAAGUC